Molecule: ribosomal RNA, 500 nt
Filed under: uncultured bacterium
Lineage: Bacteria
Description: partial 16S ribosomal RNA
Rfam family: Bacterial small subunit ribosomal RNA
Source: RNAcentral
AUUGAACGCUGGCGGAAUGCUUUACACAUGCAAGUCGAACGGCAGCACGGACUUCGGUCUGGUGGCGAGUGGCGAACGGGUGAGUAAUACAUCGGAACGUGCCCAGUCGUGGGGGAUAACGUAGCGAAAGCUACGCUAAUACCGCAUACGAUCUAAGGAUGAAAGCGGGGGGUCGCAAGACCUCGCGCGAUUGGAGCGGCCGAUGGCAGAUUAGGUAGUUGGUGGGGUAAAGGCUCACCAAGCCGACGAUCUGUAGCUGGUCUGAGAGGACGACCAGCCACACUGGGACUGAGACACGGCCCAGACUCCUACGGGAGGCAGCAGUGGGGAAUUUUGGACAAUGGGCGAAAGCCUGAUCCAGCAAUGCCGCGUGCAGGAUGAAGGCCUUCGGGUUGUAAACUGCUUUUGUACGGAACGAAAAGCUCUGGGUUAAUACCCUGGGGUCAUGACGGUACCGUAAGAAUAAGCACCGGCUAACUACGUGCCAGCCGCCGCUGUAA